AGAGUUUGAUCCUGGCUCAGGACGAACGCUGGCGGCGUGCCUAAUACAUGCAAGUCGAACGAAACUUUCUUACACCGAAUGCUUGUAUUCACCGUAAGAAGUUGAGUGGCGGACGGGUGAGUAACACGUGGGUAACCUGCCUAAAAGAAGGGGAUAACACUUGGAAACAGGUGCUAAUACCGUAUAUCUCUAAGGGUCGCAUGAUCCUUAGAUGAAAGAUGGUUCUGCUAUCGCUUUUAGAUGGACCCGCGGCGUAUUAACUAGUUGGUGGGGUAACGGCCUACCAAGGUGAUGAUACGUAGCCGAACUGAGAGGUUGAUCGGCCACAUUGGGACUGAGACACGGCCCAAACUCCUACGGGAGGCAGCAGUAGGGAAUCUUCCACAAUGGACGCAAGUCUGAUGGAGCAACGCCGCGUGAGUGAAGAAGGUCUUCGGAUCGUAAAACUCUGUUGUUAGAGAAGAACACGAGUGAGAGUAACUGUUCAUUCGAUGACGGUAUCUAACCAGCAAGUCACGGCUAACUACGUGCCAGCAGCCGCGGUAAUACGUAGGUGGCAAGCGUUGUCCGGAUUUAUUGGGGCGUAAAGGGAAACGCCAGGCGGUCUUUUUAAGUCUGAUGUGAAAGCCUUCGGCUUAAACCGGAGUA
RNAcentral lists this ribosomal RNA (648 nucleotides) under uncultured bacterium. RNAcentral's name for it is "bacterial SSU rRNA". It matches the Rfam family "Bacterial small subunit ribosomal RNA", at positions 8 to 620 of the family's 1533-position model. The record is from RNAcentral.